UACGGAGGAUCCGAGCGUUAUCCGGAUUUACUGGGCGUAAAGGGAGCGUAGGCGGCUUUUAAGUCAGCGGUGAAAUUUUGCAGCUUAACUGUAACAGUGCCGUUGAUACUGGGGAGCUAGGAUUUGGUUGCUGUGGGUGGAAUGUGUGGUGUAGCGGUGAAAUGCUUAGAGAUCACACAGAAUAUCGAUUGCGAAGGCAGCUCACAAAGCCAAGAUUGACGCUGAGGCACGAAAGUGUGGGGAUCAAACAGGAUUA
This 256-nucleotide ribosomal RNA is filed under the name uncultured prokaryote. RNAcentral describes it as "partial 16S ribosomal RNA". It matches the Rfam family "Bacterial small subunit ribosomal RNA", at positions 524 to 780 of the family's 1533-position model. The record is from RNAcentral.